CAGGCCUAACACAUGCAAGUCGAGCGCACCCUUCGGGGCGAGCGGCGGACGGGUUAGUAACGCGUGGGAACGUACCCUUUUCUACGGAAUAGCCUCGGGAAACUGAGAGUAAUACCGUAUAAGCCCUUCGGGGGAAAGAUUUAUCGGUAAAGGAUCGGCCCGCGUUAGAUUAGAUAGUUGGUGGGGUAAUGGCCUACCAAGGCGAC
RNAcentral lists this ribosomal RNA (206 nucleotides) under Prasinoderma singulare. RNAcentral's name for it is "partial Bacterial small subunit ribosomal RNA". It matches the Rfam family "Bacterial small subunit ribosomal RNA", at positions 43 to 277 of the family's 1533-position model. Lineage: Eukaryota; Viridiplantae; Prasinodermophyta; Prasinodermophyceae; Prasinodermales; Prasinodermaceae. The record is from RNAcentral.